AGAGUUUGAUCCUGGCUCAGGAUGAACGCUGGCGGCGUGCCUAAUACAUGCAAGUCGAGCGAACGGACGAGAAGCUUGCUUCUCUGAUGUUAGCGGCGGACGGGUGAGUAACACGUGGAUAACCUACCUAUAAGACUGGGAUAACUUCGGGAAACCGUAGCUAAUACCGGAUAAUAUUUUGAACCGCAUGGUUCAAAAGUGAAAGACGGUCUUGCUGUCACUUAUAGAUGGAUCCGCGCUGCAUUAGCUAGUUGGUAAGGUAACGGCUUACCAAGGCAACGAUGCAUAGCCGACCUGAGAGGGUGAUCGGCCACACUGGAACUGAGACACGGUCCAGACUCCUACGGGAGGCAGCAGUAGGGAAUCUUCCGCAAUGGGCGAAAGCCUGACGGAGCAACGCCGCGUGAGUGAUGAAGGUCUUCGGAUCGUAAAACUCUGUUAUUAGGGAAGAACAUAUGUGUAAGUAACUGUGCACAUCUUGACGGUACCUAAUCAGAAAGCCACGGCUAACUACGUGCCAGCAGCCGCGGUAAUACGUAGGUGGCAAGCGUUAUCCGGAAUUAUUGGGCGUAAAGCGCGCGUAGGCGGUUUUUUAAGUCUGAUGUGAAAGCCCACGGCUCAACCGUGGAGGGUCAUUGGAAACUGGAAAACUUGAGUGCAGAAGAGGAAAGUGGAAUUCCAUGUGUAGCGGUGAAAUGCGCAGAGAUAUGGAGGAACACCAGUGGCGAAGGCGACUUUCUGGUCUGUAACUGACGCUGAUGUGCGAAAGCGUGGGGAUCAAACAGGAUUAGAUACCCUGGUAGUCCACGCCGUAAACGAUGAGUGCUAAGUGUUAGGGGGUUUCCGCCCCUUAGUGCUGCAGCUAACGCAUUAAGCACUCCGCCUGGGGAGUACGACCGCAAGGUUGAAACUCAAAGGAAUUGACGGGGACCCGCACAAGCGGUGGAGCAUGUGGUUUAAUUCGAAGCAACGCGAAGAACCUUACCAAAUCUUGACAUCCUUUGACAACUCUAGAGAUAGAGCCUUCCCCUUCGGGGGACAAAGGGACAGGUGGUGCAUGGUUGUCGUCAGCUCGUGUCGUGAGAUGUUGGGUUAAGUCCCGCAACGAGCGCAACCCUUAAGCUUAGUUGCCAUCAUUAAGUUGGGCACUCUAAGUUGACUGCCGGUGACAAACCGGAGGAAGGUGGGGAUGACGUCAAAUCAUCAUGCCCCUUAUGAUUUGGGCUACACACGUGCUACAAUGGACAAUACAAAGGGCAGCGAAACCGCGAGGUCAAGCAAAUCCCAUAAAGUUGUUCUCAGUUCGGAUUGUAGUCUGCAACUCGACUACAUGAAGCUGGAAUCGCUAGUAAUCGUAGAUCAGCAUGCUACGGUGAAUACGUUCCCGGGUCUUGUACACACCGCCCGUCACACCACGAGAGUUUGUAACACCCGAAGCCGGUGGAGUAACCUUUUAGGAGCUAGCCGUCGAAGGUGGGACAAAUGAUUGGGGUGAAGUCGUAACAAGGUAGCCGUAUCGGAAGGUGCGGCUGGAUCACCU
Molecule: ribosomal RNA, 1540 nt
Filed under: Staphylococcus aureus H40575
Lineage: Bacteria; Bacillati; Bacillota; Bacilli; Caryophanales; Staphylococcaceae
Description: 16S ribosomal RNA
Rfam family: Bacterial small subunit ribosomal RNA
Source: RNAcentral